UACGUAGGGGGCUAGCGUUGUCCGGAUUUAUUGGGCGUAAAGAGCGUGUAGGCGGCCAGGUAGGUCUGCUGUGAAAACUCGAGGCUCAACCUCGAGACGUCGGCGGAAACCAUCUGGCUAGAGUCCGGAAGAGGAGAGUGGAAUUCCUGGUGUAGCGGUGAAAUGCGCAGAUAUCGGGAGGAACACCAAUGGCGAAGGCAGCUCGCUGGGACGUUACUGACGCUGAGACGCGAAAGCUAGGGGAGCGAAUGGG
Molecule: ribosomal RNA, 253 nt
Filed under: uncultured bacterium
Lineage: Bacteria
Description: partial 16S ribosomal RNA
Rfam family: Bacterial small subunit ribosomal RNA
Source: RNAcentral